UAAGUAUUGUUUUUAUACUUUCUAGAUUUAUAUUAUUAGUUAUUUGGUUCCCCAGUCUGUUUUCUUACCAUAUUCUCUAUUACUAAGAAUUUCCCAGAGGCUGAGCAUGGCUGAAGAGGUAAUGAAUUUGCCUACAUGGCAGAAGCCUAGUUUCAAUCCCCAGUACUGCUACCCCCCCAAAAAAAUCCAAACAAAGAAAAUGUUGCAGUAAGUCAGUAUUACCAAAUUUGAAGAUAAAAUACACCUUAGUCUUGUAAAAAACAUCCUUAUAGGGUUUCUUGAAUUUAUAAUGAGUGAUUUAAUGACUUUUCCUUAUUUGAGAUUUAAAAAUUUUAAUAAAAUUUGUGCAAAACAAUUUUCUUCCUUU
Perognathus longimembris pacificus (Pacific pocket mouse) is the source of this 367-nucleotide long non-coding RNA. RefSeq lists it as uncharacterized. The transcript has 3 exons. NCBI's taxonomy places the organism in Eukaryota, Metazoa, Chordata, Mammalia, Rodentia, Heteromyidae. The record is from RefSeq and is a predicted model, not a curated record.